RNAcentral lists this non-coding RNA (94 nucleotides) under Veillonella caviae. RNAcentral's name for it is "SAM riboswitch (S box leader)". It matches the Rfam family "SAM riboswitch aptamer (S box leader)". From Rfam's summary of the family: The SAM riboswitch is found upstream of a number of genes which code for proteins involved in methionine or cysteine biosynthesis in Gram-positive bacteria. Lineage: Bacteria; Bacillati; Bacillota; Negativicutes; Veillonellales; Veillonellaceae. The record is from RNAcentral.
CUCAUCAAGAGUAGUGGAGGGAUAGGCCCUGUGAAGCUACAGCAACCCUUAUAAAAGAAGGUGCUAAAUCCAACGGUCCUGUGACUGGUAGAUG